This 402-nucleotide ribosomal RNA is filed under the name uncultured prokaryote. RNAcentral's name for it is "bacterial SSU rRNA". It matches the Rfam family "Bacterial small subunit ribosomal RNA", at positions 355 to 774 of the family's 1533-position model. The record is from RNAcentral.
UGGGGAAUAUUGGACAAUGGGCGAAAGCCUGAUCCAGCCAUGCCGCGUGAGUGAUGAAGGCCCUAGGGUUGUAAAGCUCUUUCGCCAGGGACGAUAAUGACGGUACCUGGAUAAGAAGCCCCGGCUAACUUCGUGCCAGCAGCCGCGGUAAUACGAAGGGGGCUAGCGUUGUUCGGAUUAACUGGGCGUAAAGCGCACGUAGGCGGAUCUUUAAGUCAGGGGUGAAAUCCCGAGGCUCAACCUCGGAACUGCCUUUGAUACUGGAGAUCUCGAGUUCGGGAGAGGUGAGUGGAACUGCGAGUGUAGAGGUGAAAUUCGUAGAUAUUCGCAAGAACACCAGUGGCGAAGGCGGCUCACUGGCCCGAUACUGACGCUGAGGUGCGAAAGCGUGGGGAGCAAACA